GACGAACGCUGGCGGCGUGCUUAACACAUGCAAGUCGAACGGAAAGGCCCUGCUUUUGUGGGGUGCUCGAGUGGCGAACGGGUGAGUAACACGUGAGUAACCUGCCCUUGACUUUGGGAUAACUUCAGGAAACUGGGGCUAAUACCGGAUAGGAGCUUCUGCUGCAUGGUGGGGGUUGGAAAGUUUCGGCGGUUGGGGUUGGACGCGCGGCUUAUCAGCUUGUUGGUGGGGUAGUGGCUUACCAAUGCUUUGGCGGGUAGCCGGCCUGGGAGGGAGACAGGCCACAGUGGGAUACGGGAAGGGCCAAGAGGCAUACGGGAGCAAGGGGUGGAAGAAUGACCAAAAAGGGCCGAGGGAGGAAGGAGGAACGCCGCGUGCGGAAUGACUGCCUUUGGGUUGGAAAACACUUUCGCCUAUGACGAAGCGUGAGUGCCGGUAAUGAGGAAAGAGACACCGCCUACUUACUU
This 467-nucleotide ribosomal RNA is filed under the name uncultured bacterium. Its description in RNAcentral is "partial 16S ribosomal RNA". It matches the Rfam family "Bacterial small subunit ribosomal RNA", at positions 28 to 506 of the family's 1533-position model. The record is from RNAcentral.